GAUGAACGCUGGCGGCGUGCCUAAUACAUGCAAGUCGAGCGAACAGACGAGGAGCUUGCUCCUUUGACGUUAGCGGCGGACGGGUGAGUAACACGUAGGUAACCUACCUAUAAGACUGGGAUAACUUCGGGAAACCGGAGCUAAUACCGGAUAAUAUUUCGAACCGCAUGGUUCGAUAGUGAAAGAUGGCUUUGCUAUCACUUAUAGAUGGACCUGCGCCGUAUUAGCUAGUUGGUAAGGUAACGGCUUACCAAGGCAACGAUACGUAGCCGACCUGAGAGGGUGAUCGGCCACAAUGGAACUGAGACACGGUCCAGACUCCUACGGGAGGCAGCAGUAGGGAAUCUUCCGCAAUGGGCGAAAGCCUGACGGAGCAAAGCCGCGUGAGUGAUGAAGGUCUUCGGAUCGUAAAACUCUGUUAUUAGGGAAGAACAAACGUGUAAGUAACUGUGCACGUCUUGACGGUACCUAAUCAGAAAGCCACGGCUAACUACGUG
RNAcentral lists this ribosomal RNA (497 nucleotides) under uncultured bacterium. RNAcentral describes it as "partial 16S ribosomal RNA". It matches the Rfam family "Bacterial small subunit ribosomal RNA", at positions 28 to 507 of the family's 1533-position model. The record is from RNAcentral.